AAGACACGACCGAAGGCAAAGAACCUGCCCUUGUCAGAUGCGGGAAUCAUCUUAGAGACGUAGAGCAUCAAAGGACCGUCUGGAUCACAGUUUCUGAUAGCUGCAGCAUACUUAUCAUCAAGGGGACCUUCAUACAAGUUCUCAACACGGUACCUCUGCGCAGUGUAGGGUGAUGGUAAGUGAAAGAUCAUCAUUUCAAGAAGAGCGGUACUCGCAGGAAGCCAUGCCUGCAUGACACGCUUCAUCAAAGGUCGGGGAGCCAGUUUUUGGUCGUCCAUUUUCUGGUUGCAGAAUCAAAGAAGUUCUCACCCCACAGCCUCUCCAUCAUUUUAGAUUCAGAGACACCAAACUUGGAAGCAUACAUCUUAGCAAAAUUGGUGAGAGUGAAAGCCCAUCCGUGGAGACCAGCAGAGAAAGCUACUGUCCCCUUUUCAGGGUAAACCUGAACAUCACCGAGGAGAGGAUCCUCAUGCGUGGCCAUGAUGACAUUAGCAUUCUCAAUGACCCUCUGGAAAUUCUGAUACGCCUCCUCACCAUCAACCUUAAGCUCAAGGAAACACCUGUCCAUCUUGUUGACAGUCAAAACAGGCCUAAUCCUUUCACCAAGAGAUUGCCUGAGCACAGUCUCAGUCUGCACACAAACACCUUCAAUGCAGUCAACAACCACAAGAGCACCAUCAGUGAUACGGAGAGCAGCUGUGACCUCUGAAGAAAAGUCAACGUGUCCAGGAGAGUCAAUGAGGUUGAUCAGGUACUCAUUGCCAUCUCUAGCUCCGGUGAAACUCUUCAGAGACGCAUCAGUCAUCUCAUAGUAGAGAGAGAUACCAGUGGACUUGAUGGUGAUACCACGUUCUGCCUCAUCAGCACGAGUAUCAGUCAUACGCACAUCACCCGCAGUUUCUUGAGCAAUGAUACCAGCAGCAGCAACAAGUGAAUCCGUAAGUGUAGAUUUCCCUAUCAUUAAAAGAUCACAAAACUUUUAUUUAGUAUCAAGUUUGAUAGAAAAAACACAUGCUUAGCAAACAUAUGUAUAAAAGAGCAAAUAUUUCAUCAACAAAAAAGAAACAGAA
RNAcentral lists this unclassified non-coding RNA (1070 nucleotides) under Arabidopsis thaliana (thale cress). Lineage: Eukaryota; Viridiplantae; Streptophyta; Magnoliopsida; Brassicales; Brassicaceae. The record is from RNAcentral.